Molecule: unclassified non-coding RNA, 2766 nt
Filed under: Sitophilus oryzae (rice weevil)
Lineage: Eukaryota; Metazoa; Arthropoda; Insecta; Coleoptera; Curculionidae
Description: gamma-tubulin complex component 2-like, transcript variant X1
Source: RNAcentral
AAUAAACUGUCAAACUCAAAUAGAUAAAAAUUCAAAAUUGUUUACACCGUUUAGAUAUUUUAAAAAAAUGAGUGAAUUUCAAUUACAAAGUAUUGUGGAUAAUUUAUUGCAUCACUUAGGGGGUACCGUUCAGCCAGAAGAGGUUGUUGAUUAUUUACAGAAGAAUAUUACGCAAACUACAAGUGUUGGUUGUUCAGGAGCUCAAAUCACUGAAAAAGGCCAAAUAAAUAAUCUUAUAGGAAAACUAUCAAAUCAGGAACCAUUCAUUGCCAAGUACAAUGAUUUGAAACAGAAAAAUGUUGAUUCUUUAAAUCUGUUUGUGCAGUUACUAAACAAUAUUAUCCAAGAUACUGGAGUAAAGGAACUACUAGCUAAGACUAAAAGGCAACAAUUUACUCUAAGUGCGAAAACAAACAUUACCAAAGAUGAUUUACCCCUAGUAAAAAAUAUUCUCAAAGAAAAAGUGAAACAUAGUCCCGUAGGGGACUUAAGCAGUGUUUUAAAUAUAUCUUCAUCUGUUCCAAUUGCUUCAACACCUUCAGUAAUGUCUUGGGUACAAAGAAAACCUACAAUGUCUUUUGAUUUUUCAACAACUAGUUUUGGCACUUGCUUAACUACCGUACCUGAAAUAUCACAAGAAAAUGUUUUAAUCGAAGAUCUCUUGAACUGUUUGAUUGGCUUGCCGGGAUGUUAUAUAGAGCCAGAAGAUUUGAAGGAUCCAUAUGGACCUCGAACGUUUAAAAUAAAUGAUAACGUUCCUAUAUCUCUGCAAGAACUUGUAAAGCAGAUAUUGCCAUUGGCCAGUCAUUAUUCGAUGAUACAAAGGUUUACUGAGGAAAAAAUGAGAUUUGAAUUUGGGCAAGUUAAUAAUGCUUUGGCAGAGGCAAUGCAAUGUUUAAACAAGGAUCAUAUGUUAUUUGUUGUACAAUUAGAAACAGAAUUCAGAGCUGGUAAUCUGACAUUACAGAAGUUAUGGUUCUUUACACAAAGAAACAUGCAAUGUUUAGGAAUUGCAGCAGAUAUAGCAUUUUGUAUUAGUAAAUCUGAUGCGAAAGGUGGUAAGGUAUUAAGCUUACUACAUGAUAACGUUAUAAGUUCUAUUGGUGAUGAACGUAAUCAACAAUUGUGUUUGAAACUUAUGGGAGCUGCCUGUGUGCCUUACAUGAAAAUGUUGGGCAUGUGGAUAUACAUGGGAAUCAUAUCAGAUCCUAUUAACGAAUUCUUAGUUGAGGAUAAUGAAGUUAUUCAGAAAGAGGAUAUGCCUGUCGAUUAUUCGGCCGAUUAUUGGGACAAAAAAUACUGCAUACGAAGGGAUAGAAUACCAAAAUUUUUAGAACCUGUCGCAGAUAUUAUAUUAAAAGCGGGAAAAUAUUUAAAUGUUAUAAGACAGUGUGGUAAACCGGUAAGAACAAAAAUCUGUCCGAUACUGUAUCGAAUUGAAGAAAAACAUUACAUUGAGGCUAUAGAGAAAGCAUAUAUGUUUGCUAGCAAAACUCUUUUGGAUCUUGUGAUUACCGAAAAGGAUCUUAUAGGUCGUUUAAAAUCCGUCAAGCAUUACUUCCUUCUGGAUAAGGGCGAUUUUAUCGUCACGUUUCUCACGUUAUGCGAAAAAGAGCUUAAUAAAAUGGUCGUUGAUAUUAUUCAAAGCAGAUUGGAGAGCUUAAUGGACUUGGCACUGAGACUAUCCAGUUCUGCUAAUGACCCUUAUCGAGAAGACCUGAAGACUGAAUUAUUACCGUUUAAUUUGCAGUUUCAAAUGUUUAAGAUACUCAGUAUUCAAACAAAUUCAGAACAAGAUUAUUGGUCAUGUUUUGAUCCAAAGAACUUAUCUGUUAUCGAAUCGUUUGCAUUUAGUUAUGAAGUCCGUUGGCCCCUGUCCCUUAUUCUCAACAAGAAAUCUCUCGCUUGUUAUCAAAUGAUUUUUCGACAUUUAUUCUACUCGAAAUACGUGGAGAGAUUGUUGUGUCAAGUGUGGAAAUCAAAUAAAGUUGCUAAAAAAUUCCACUAUUCCGAUGCGAGGCACUACAGAGAAGCAUUUGCUUUAAGACAAAAAAUGUUGCACUGCGUUCAAAAUCUAGAGUACCAUAUGAUGGUCGAGGUUAUCGAGCCACACUGGUGUAGUUUUAUACAGAAAAUUCAUAAGGUUCAUAAUGUUGAUGAAAUUUUGUCGUGUCAUUGUGAUUUUCUAGACAGUUGUUUAAAGGACUGCAUGUUAACAAUUCCAGCUAUUCUCAGCACAAUCGUGAAGAUCCUAAAUAUAUGUGUGGAAUUUUCCAAGUUUAUGCAACGGAUGGAACGCUAUUUCGUCGAAGCAGAGUUGGGUUCGUUACCAAAUUCGCUUUACGAUUCCUUCACACAGAAUGAAGUAACGUUUCAAGACCAGGAAUUAAACUUAAGUUUUAAAGGCAAAAUAACCCUGUACGACAGCGAGUUUUUGAAAGCCAUAAGAUCGCUUUUGGCACAAAUCAACGACUUAAAUAGAGACACCAGUGAGCACGACCGUCUCUUUAAUUUAUUAUACAGGUAUUGUUGUAUUCAACCUUCGCUUAGACUAUUCCAAAUAUAGUAGUGUAAUGCAUGUGCAAGUUUAGGAAUAAAAUAAUAUCAAAUUCUUGGUGAGAAUAUUAUUAAACACAUGGUAAAAUGAAUAUUUGAAGAUUGAAUUUUAAUUCAUUUUACACUGGAGAAGGACUAAUAGAUGGAUCGUCCGGUUAAGCUGACUUUAUUUAUUAUAUUUUAAAAUGUUUACAAUAUAUUACUUCACAG